CAAUAUAUAUAGAGCAUUGUUUCCCGAUAAAAAAAGAUCUACUCUUUACUAAAAUAAUAGUUAAUUUUAUAUCUCAAUGUUGAACGAUUGUGAGUAAAGUAUUGAGUAGAAGUGAAAUGCUUACAAUUUUUUUGAUAUCUGGAUAGAGUAUAAAAGAAUAUAGUUUUUAGGUAGUCGAGGAGUUAUAAGAUUCUUCGAAAUGUAAAAUUGUAAAUAAAACAGUAUAUAGGAAUAAUUUUCUCACUACUGAAUAUAUACUAACAUUUAUAUUUAAAUCUAUUUAAUUAAUUACACUCUUUGCAGACUAUAAUACAAAGUGUCAGUUAAUAAUGUUUAAAUUAGUAUUAUAUAUUUAUAUUUUGAUGAGGAACUCGGCAAAAAUUUUCUUCAACUGUUUAUCAAAAACAUAGCUUGAAGGAAUAUUUAUUUUAAGUGAUUUCUGCCCAGUGAAAAUUUAACGGCCGCAGUACACUGACUGUGCUAAGGUAGCAUAAUAAUUUGGCUUUUAAUUGAAGUCGGGUAUGAAAGGGACAAUGAAGAAUAUCUGUCUUUUUUAAAUAAAUAAAAAUUACUUAGAAAGUGAAAAUUCUUUCAUUGUAGUACGUCAGACGAGAAGACCCUAAGAAUUUUUAUAAAAUUUAGUGCUAUACUUAUUAAAUUUUUGUUGGGGCAACAACUUUGGUAAACCAAAGUGUACUAGAUACUUACACAUCAUACAGUUUAAGAUUCGACGAAUAUUACCUUAGGGAUAACAGCAUAAUUAUUAUAUUAGAUUGUGACCUCGAUGUUGGACUAAGGACUUGAUUAAAUAGCCUUUAAUUAAGCUAGUUCUGUUCGAACUUUAAACCUUA
RNAcentral lists this ribosomal RNA (851 nucleotides) under Schileykula aculeata. RNAcentral describes it as "partial 16S ribosomal RNA". Lineage: Eukaryota; Metazoa; Mollusca; Gastropoda; Stylommatophora; Orculidae. The record is from RNAcentral.